RNAcentral lists this long non-coding RNA (1056 nucleotides) under Struthio camelus australis. Its description in RNAcentral is "lncRNA (ENSSCUG00000016676.1)". Lineage: Eukaryota; Metazoa; Chordata; Aves; Struthioniformes; Struthionidae. The record is from RNAcentral.
UCUACAUAUCGGGUGUAUGUCUGGGGUAAAUCACUUUAUCUAUGAUAUAGAGUUAUUCAUAUAGUUGUCUCUCUUGUCUGACAUGACCGUUAUCUCAUGUGGAGACUCCAGAUUACCACAAUGACCCAGAUUCACUCCCUAAGUCAUGGUCUCACAGGAAGGAGCUGCCAGAAAAUCCCAUUAUGCAGAUCAUCUGAAGGAUUCUUGCGGCCUUUGCUUUGAGAAAUUCAAACAUCUCCAUUGCUUGGAACAAGGCUCUGAUAUUGGGCAUGUCAUAUCUUUUCAGCUUUUACAGGAACAUGUUGCUGAUUACCACGGUCCUGGAAUAUUCCAGAGAAUCUUAUGCAAAACAUGGCCAAAAAGCAGCAGAACUGAAGCCAAUGACACUGUUCUGGGAAUACUGAAGACGAAGGAUGGCUGUUAUACAUGGCAGAGAGUGACCGUUCUCCGCCACCUGCUAGAUGCAGACAGUCCAGUAACUCGAGCACUUGCAGUCUAUGCUGCGGUACUGAAAGAUUAGGGUUCUCUUGUAUAUGGUAGUGUUGCAUUCUACUGUUUUCUAGCAAAAUGUACACAAAAGUUUUAACAAAGGGGCAUUGCUUAGGUUGCAAACUCAAAGGCUUGUGUAUGAAGGAGUGUCCAUACAACCUUAUUUUGACCUCAUCUGUAUAUGUCUCAACAGUCCCUGUGAAAGUCUCACCUUGCCCAGUAUUCCGGAGGAACAUCAGAGACAGAAUUAGGAAUGGAAGCCCCUAUAUCUGGCCUUUCCUAAAAUGUACUUGACUUUACAGCCUAAGCUGUUUGUUUUACUAUUGUCUUUUAUAUACACAUCCAUAUACACAUAUCAGUUUAUAGUAGUGAGAGAAAGGAAGAUGUGAUCCUCAUUUAGUGUGAAGAAAAAUCCUAAUUGGCUUCUUUCUCUGUAAUAAUUCUUAGAAAAGAGAGAUAACACAAAAAGGCUAAAGACUUUAUGAGCUGUAUGCUACACCUGUAAUUGUUGUACUUAAGAGUUCUUAACCACAGUGCCCAAGAAUAAAGGGGAGCUAUUGCAACGCA